CCUACGGGGUGCUGCAGUGGGGAAUAUUGCACAAUGGGGGAAACCCUGAUGCAGCGACGCCGCGUGAGUGAAGAAGUCUUUCGGUAUGUAAAGCUCUAUCAGCAGGGAAGAAAAUGACGGUACCUGACUAAGAAGCCCCGGCUAAAUACGUGCCAGCAGCCGCGGUAAUACGCAGGGGGCAAGCGUUAUCCGGAUUUACUGGGUGUAAAGGGAGGGUAGACGGGAAGACAAGUCAGAAGUGAAAGCCAAGGGCUCAACCCUGGGACUGCCUUUGAAACUGCCGGGCUUGAGUGGGGGAGAGGUAAGCGGAAUUCCUAGUGUAGCGGUGAAAUGCGUAGAUAUUAGGAGGAACACCAGUGGCGAAGGCGGCUUACUGGACUGUAACUGACGUUGAGGCUCGAAAGCGUGGGGAGCAAACAGGAUUAGAUACCCCUGUAGUC
Molecule: ribosomal RNA, 440 nt
Filed under: uncultured bacterium
Lineage: Bacteria
Description: partial 16S ribosomal RNA
Rfam family: Bacterial small subunit ribosomal RNA
Source: RNAcentral